CCGGGAGAGGCUGGGACCCGGCACCAGGGCAGUACUGUGGCCGCUGCGGCCUCAUCUCCGACUGGGUCAGGUUGCGGAGACUCCAGGCCGCUUCCAGGGCGAGUACUCCUGAUUGUGACAUCACAUUCAUCCCCUGGGCGAUGGAGCUUGUCACUGGGAAGGAAUACUCAGUCGGAGAAUAGCCAACAAGAUGGGUUACUGGGAGAAUCUCUUCAGUGGCACUGAGUGGAGGCAUCAGGGGGUUGGAGCCUUGUGAACAGGGAACCUGCCCCCCAACACUUGGAAGGACCUGGGUUUCAGUGAUGAGACAUGGGGUAUGAUGUAACCCGUUUCCAGGGGGAUGUUGACGAAGAUCUUAUCUGCCCUAUUUGCAGUGGAGUCUUGGAGGAGCCAGUACAGCCUUGCCAGACCAGAGUCAGUUGUAUCAUCCUGGGGCAAGUAUGAGGAGAAGCUCACGAUUACCAGGCAAGCACCUCAUUGUGAACAUGCUUUCUGCAACGCCUGCAUCACCCAGUGGUUCUCUCAGCAACAGACAUGUCCAGUGGACCGUAGUGUUGUGACGGUCGCCCAUCUGCGCCCAGUACCUCGGAUCAUGCGGAACAUGUUGUCAAAGCUGCAGAUUGCCUGUGACAACGCUGUGUUUGGCUGUAGUGCCGUUGUCCGGCUUGACAACCUCAUGUCUCACCUCAGCGACUGUGAGCACAACCCGAAGCGGCCUGUGACCUGUGAACAGGGCUGUGGGUGAGAUUUGUUCCCUUCUGCCCCACAUGGAUAAAGGCCAUCUCAUUUAUGCCCCUGUCUCUGGCUGCCCUCCUCACUAGCUGAGGAGGUCUCUUUGGCAUGUUGGCAAGGAGUAUUCUUAGCCUGCUUGGCUUCCUGCUCUAAGAUCUUACUUUCUUGCUGCUUUUCCAACUAUAAUCAUUUUGCUCUUGCUUUAACAAAAGAAGGGGCACAGCAAUUUAGUAAAUUUGUGUAAUAACAUUAAAGGUUGAUUGACUCUA
This 1001-nucleotide small RNA is filed under the name Pan troglodytes (chimpanzee). Its description in RNAcentral is "retained intron". The record is from RNAcentral. Lineage: Eukaryota; Metazoa; Chordata; Mammalia; Primates; Hominidae.